CUCUCCUUCCCCGAAAGAAGAGGGCUCUUCUAAAACCCACUGUUAGCUGGGUCAUUGUGCUUCUGACUCUGGAGUCCAGCCAGGCUGUGGUGACAGUUUACUACAAAGCCAACCCCAUACUGAUGUCAUGCCCCACAGUUCCUGUGGUGCUGUGGAGAAUCUAUGCCAUAAACUUUGGAGGGCCCUGGCUCUGGGGAGCUCUACUUAGUGGUCCUGUCUCCCUGUUUCUAACCCAUAAUCUCUGUUUGCAGAUGCCCAAAUAGUAUCUUGUGCCUCUUACCACCUGUGGUGCUGGGAAUUGAACCUAGAGUCUCAUACAUGCUAAGCAAGCACUCUGCCCCUCAACUACACCCCUAACUCCUAAAUGCCCUUGAAUUAAGCCUCCUAUUGAUUUGUACCUCACCUUGUGGAGACAGGAGGAUGACCCUCAGUUUCUCAGAGUCUCAGAACUGGUGAUACUGGUACAGGUACAGACAGGGCAAUUCUGGCUUUCUCUUCCAUAAGAAAAUUCUAGAUUUGAAGAGGUGAGCCGGGCGUGGUAGCAAAUGCCCACGCCUUUAAUCCCAGCACUCGGAGGCAGAGGCAGGGGGUCUUUUGUGAGUUCGAGGCCAGCCAGGUCUACAAAGGGAGAUCCAGGACAGUCAGAGCUGUUAUACAGAGAGACCCUGUCUUCACCACCACCCCCAAAAGGCAACUUAUCCCUCUGCCCACUGUGCCAUCUUUUGGCCAGGCUUUGCUGAGGUUCUUUGGGGUCAAGGUCUUUGGCAGGGGCAGUGGAAUUUGUUCUACUGAAAACGAAACCUGGCAACAACCUUACAAAGAACACAUAGCUGGCUAAGUUGAAAGGAAGUAUGUAUCAUCUUCCAGGCGCUUCCUGGGCCUGGAAUGGAAAAUGCUCCUGGAAUGCUGAUUUGGAAUACAUCUUUCAUGCUCACAGAAAUCCCUUCCCACAUGGCCAGGGUUCCAGAGACAAGGCCGGAAGUUCUCUGUCCCCAGCAGGUACCGUUUGCUGCAGGUCUUCUUUUCCAGCCUCCUAUGGCUUUGGGUUUUCUUGUUUGUAUGUUUUGUCUUGGCAUUUUCCCUGAACACCGUCUUUACGCUGAGUGCAGAGACAAUGGGUUCAUUGUUAUUUUCAGUAUCAAACGCAGGGUGAUGCUUUGCAGAGGUCCAGAAAACGGCAGGCAUUGGACCAUGUGUGUGACACUUUCGACCAGGCAGGAGUUUACUGUGUGCUCUCCUCUGCCUGUCCACACCCACUCUUCACCCAUUUCUUGGAGGACUGAGUCCUGGCUCCCUGUCUUGGUGCCUGUGUUUAACCAAUAUGAGGAGAAUGGGGACUCAUGGGAUCUAGUCCCUCUCCCAGGGUGGCCUUAGGUUGGCUGCCCCCUCUUGCUGAAGGGGUCAGCUCUGUUUCCUGCUCUUCUCUACUUUCCUUCUGUAGGCCUUGGGGGAGCCCCUGAUCCCCAGAUAUGCUAGUUCCAUAUGACCACCCCUUGGGUCAGUCUUCUGGACCCUGCCACUCAGGUCUCUGAUUCCCACUGGGAUUGGGACUAACACAGAAACAGUGGAUACACACAUGGAGGACAGAAUGGGGAGUUAAGAACGAGCAAAGAUUAACUACUUUUAAGAGUGACCGUUUCCCCCAUCUUGUUCUUCCAAUGCGCGCAGCUGGCCAGCCUCAGAGCAAAUCUCUCUCCAUUCUCCAGAAGGAAGAACGGACAGUUAACUCCUCCCCAGUCUCCAGCACCGGCUCAUUUCUGUGCCUGCUCAGCCCCAUGGUUCCCAUCACUGCCUGCCCUGCCCUGUGCCUCCUGUCACCUCGGAACAUGUCCUAGGCAGAGCUGAUGAUGCAAGUGGAUGCAGAUAGACAACUUUCCUCCUCAGAAAUACCCACCCUUGCUGAGUCAAGCACCUUCUAGAAUAGUCUGGGCGGCAGGAAGCUGGUUGCUCUGUGAAUGAUCAUUUCUGGCAUCAACCACACACCAGCAGGCUGGGGCCUGAGCUGAUUCAUCAGAUGGCCUGGGCAAGCAGAGCGCCACAUGGCUGUUUCUGCUCCUCCCUCGAUAAUCUGAAGGCUCUCAGAAGACUGUGACUAAUGGGGACAUCUGAAGACAGGAGAUGCUGAGGCUGGUGUGUGUGUGUGUGUGUGUGUGUGUGUGUGUGUGUGUGUGUGUGUGUGUUUUGGUCGGGAGAGUCAGCUCAAGUCCAGACCGAGUAUGAGCAUAUGCAUUGAGAGGAGCAUGUCUCAACCUGUGGUUCAUAACCCCUUUGGGGAUCACAUGUCAGAUAUCCUGCAUAUCAGAUAUUUACAUUAUGAUUCAUAACAGUAGCAAAAUUACACCUAUGAAGUAGCAACGAAAAUAAUUUUACGGUUUGGGGGUCACCACAACCUGAGGGACUGUAUUAAAGGGUCGCAGCAUUAGGAAGGUUGAGAACCACUGAUCUAGAGGGCUGGCCUUGGGACUUCACGGAGAAGCCUUCAGGCUGGAUUUGCUCAAGUUGAGCUCCUUGAGGAGGGGAAAGAGCAGAGAACUUUUGCAGGUCUGAUGCUGUGAAAAUUAGGCAGCUUCCCUGGGUCUCAGUUUCUUCUCUAAAAUGGGCUUAAUAUAAAGGACAGCCUACAGAUCGAAUAUAAGGGAACCCUCACUUCUGAUUGGCAUGGAAACCGGAGACCAGAUGAGUGUGCUGGUGCAGGCCUGUGAUCCCAGCUAUUCCAGAGGGCAAGGUGGGAGGGGUACCAGUUUGAGGCCCCUUCAGCGAUUUCAAAGCCAGCCUAAGUAACUUAGAGGGACUCUGUCUCAUAAUGAAAACAAGGGUUGGGGAUGAUGUAGCUCAGUAGUGCUUGACUAGUAUGCAUGAAGUUCGGGGUUCCAUUCCCAGUCCAGGAAGAAAGGAAGGAAGGAAUUGAACUCGCAAGGGGUGUGAAGAGAGCAGGGGAAGCCGAGAAGGCACAAAAGGGGCUUUGCUGGCUGCAGUUUUGUGAGCCAGGUUGGGGCUGCUCAGCCGGCAUAAGCAGCACCCGCCUUGGUUCUUUCUCUUUUUUGUUUAUUUUUAUUUUAUGUGCAUUGGUGUUUUGCCUGUGUGUGUGUCUGUGUGAGGGUCCCCUGGAACUGGAGUCACAGACAGUUGUGAACUGUGUGGGUGCUGGGAAUUGAACCUGGGUCCUCUGGAAGAGCAAUCAGUGCUCUUAACCACUAGGCCAUCUCUCCAGCCCCUCACCUUGGUUCUUGUGGGGCAUGCACCAAACCCUGACUUCUCCACUGGGGCUCUGCGGCCUUAGGCAGCCCUCUGUGUCUCCAUUUUCUUAUUUGUAAAAUGACAUCACUAACAAGGCCUCACAGGGUUGCAGCAAAUGCGUUAAUGAGUCUAAAACUCUUAGAACUCUGUCUGGCUCUAACAAGUGCUCCUGAACGUUAAGCAAUCCCUGCUCAGCCCAGCGCCCACGGAAGGCGGCUGUGUUCCACUCGGCUCAAGUGUGCAAGGCUUCUUUGUGGCAAGGAGCUGGGUAAAUGGAGACCGAUUUUUUUUGUUUGGUUUUCUUUCUAGAAGAGCUGCCUCCUCUUGGGUCUUGUCCUUUUGGCAUAUGUGAAGAAGGAGGAGGACGCAGAGCCCUUAGAGAGAGCCACUGGGACUUGGCAUGUGAUACCCACAUGUAAUCGCAACACUCAAAGUCUGAGCAAGAGUUGAAAGUCAGGUUGCAUAGUGAAGCCCUGUCUCAACAAACAACAAACAAACAAACAAACAAACAAACAAACGGGCUGGGGCUACGGCUCAGCAGCAGAUUACUGACCCAGUUUGCACAAGGCCCUGCGUUCAAGCCAAAGUACCACAAGAAAACCGACCAACCAAUAAUCAAUCAAUCAAAACAAUAAAACCAUCUACGGGAAGCCCUCCCUCGAGUCUUCGGGGACUAUGGUUUAUGUGCCUAUUAUGGGUUGUGGGUACUAUGGGAAAGAGAAGGUGGAGGAUUAACAACAAAGGUAACCUAGACCAGGGCCUGACCGGAGAAAUCCCAGUGACAACUCUCCCCCUGAAUUCAGUCAGCUUUAGUUUUUGCUUGGUCUGAGUCUGAGGGUGUGGGAGCAGCAAUGGUACCAGAGAAGUGGUGUCACCCCAAGGUCAGAAAGGGGUGCUCUAGAGUCCAGCUCUGCCACCCGCAGAGUUCUAAAAGUCCUAGUGCAUCACACGUACAAUGAAGAUGUACAAUGGCACCAUCUUCCCAGGGUCUAUGCUGUGACCAUCCAGUGUCAGCUGCUGUUAACACAACCCUGCCAAGAGGUUCCAGGGACAGUCCCCAAAGAUGUCUAUGUCCUCGUCUCUGGAGCCUGUGAAUAUAUCAUCUUACAUGGCAAAAGGGACGUGGUAAGUGUGAUUAAACUUGAGAUCUUGAGCUAGGGAGGUUAUCUGGGUUAUCUUAGGGGAGCUCACGGAACAGCUGGAGUGAAAGAGGGAGGCAGGAGACCCGUCAGCCAUUGUCCGUUUUGAAGGAGGGAAGAAGAAUGAGGCAAAAAAUGCCGGCAGCUUGUAGAUGAAAAAGGCUACUGGAUGGAGGUCCUCCGGAAGAGCCUUCACAGACGACCCCACCCUGGGAGCUCUUGGAUCUGACCUUCGAAAUUCUGAGAUUAUAGCUCUGUGCUGUUCUGAGACACUGUAUUUGUGGUCAUUUGUCAUACUGGUGACAGGGAAUGAGUCCAGCCACUGAGUCCCCACAGAGCAGUCUCCUUGCAGGACGGACCAACUGAAGGAGACUCCACGGCAUUUACACCGUCCAUCCUCUCCUCUGUAUAGCUCCACAACUGAGGCCAUGGAACCGAAUGUCUGUGCUUGGGCACUACCCAGGGAUGGAACCUUCUAGGAUAGAGCUCGGUUUCUAGAGAAACUGGGCUCUCAUUAGGCUUUUCUGUAGGGAUCCUGAAGGAUGGAAGUGUGGGUUUGGAUGAGGAGCAGGAGGAGGGCAGAGAGAAAGACAGGACAUCAUUGGAACGGGACCGAGAGAUCAGGUACUCAUUCGCCUCUAUCUUCCCCACCCCAGGGAGGGGCACCUGGAUAGUGAUGGAGACCAGGAAAUACUUUUCGUGAUAAAUGGAGUAGCAAACAAUACACCACAAGAAAGCAGGGCCGAGGCACAGUGGGAGAGGUAGGGCCUCUUGAUGGGUGCAUGUCGGGUGGCUUCCUGGAAGAAGCAUCCCUCCAGCCGCUGCAAACAGGAUGAAGUGAAGUGCUCUCUACCGCCGGUAGCCCUGUGAAGCGCAGGUGCCGACUGGAAGCAUUUAGUGAUUUCUGUUGCUAUUCUCUAUCGAUUUCUGUUGUUAUUCUCUAUCCGGUUCUCUUUUAAUUUGUCUAAUUAUACUGAGGAGGAAGUCUCUGCUGGGCACAGGCGUACCUGGCAUGCCCCUAGAGUUCUGUUAUAAUGUAAGACCAGCUCAGGCUGGUCUGCAGGCAGCAGGCGCAAGGCUUCAGUGCUCUGCUCGGCUUGUCCUUAUUUUCAGUUUUUGCCUAACUACUUUCCUUUUGUGUUAGGAUACUGGUUUUCCUUUUCUGGGUACGGAAUACAGUUUCUUUGUAUAGCAAGGACCUCUCUCGAUUCCUGCCCGCAGUGGUUAGUUGACAGGGAUGAGCUCCCUUCAGAACCUCGGGACAGAGCUCAGCUCAGCGCUGGGUUGGUCCAUGAGAAUGAAUGAAUGAAUGAAUGAAUGAAUGAAUGAAUGAAUGAAUGGGAGAACGAAGAAAUGAAAGGAAGGGUAAAUUGGAACUCAACAAAUAAUCCUGUGCCCCUCCCUUCUCCUUCCUCUCCCUGGGCCAGGGCCCACCCUGCGUUCCUCUCCAUUGGCCAUGCCACUGGUGGUCCCUGGUCCGCUGCCCUACACGUGACAAAUAGGAGGGUCAGGACAUGUCCCAGCAGCUGGACUUCUGAGACCUGCUCCCUCCGGAAGCCUAGGCCGGGGGACCUCUCUGAUCUGCUGACCCUCACACAGCGUGGCAGGGCUCAUCAAAGCAGAUCGGAUUGGGAGAAUGACUGCUAUCUCCCAGCCCUCCUCCUCUCCAUCUCCGCCCCUAGGCCUUUAUUCAGGAGCUUGGGAUUUGAAAUUUCCGCUGCUGCCAGAGCCAGAGGAGUCCAGGAGCGUCAUUGCUGAAGGCACUAGGUGACGACAGUGGCGGUCCUGUCCCCUAGCUCUGGCUGACGUCUGGCUGCUGCCAGGCAGAGCCUCAGUGCCAAGCUGGCUUUCUGCGGUGCCCCCCGGAGAAGGGAAAGAGUGUAGGUGGGGAUGGGCCCUGGGUCAGCCCGACACAGGUUCUCAAACCCAGGCUCCCCAAGGCUGUCUCGGGGCAGCUGAGUUUGGAAUGACCUGCCAUGUCCACCGUGUCACCUGAAUCACCAGAUACUGAGUGGGUUCUCCUGCUUCCAGGCCAGCCUUAGGGCUGGAAGGACAAGGAAGCCACUAAAGAAGAGCUGCUGUGGGAGCAUCUACCCAUCUCAAUUUCAGGUUAGGCCCGCCAGCCUCACUUCCCUUCUGCUCUCUUGUUGUUGUUUUUUGGUUUUGGCCAUUUCUUCUCGAUCUUAUAUCUCUCCCUGCCGUAGCCCACUCCUAUGGUGAGGAGUUGGCCCAUUCUGGCUCCUGAGAGCAGAACACUGAAUUGUGCAAACCAGUUGUUAAAAGAGGCCAUCACCAGGAGAGGAGGGAGGGGAAACUGUAGUCCAGAUGUCGGGAUGUCAAAUAAAUGAACAAAUUUAAUUAAUAAAAACAAGGUGGCCAUUACCUAAGAUGAACUUAUGUCAAGCUAUGCUCAAACAACAUAAUAAAAACAAAGAUCAGAAAAACUCAAAAUUCA
Peromyscus californicus insignis is the source of this 6831-nucleotide long non-coding RNA. RefSeq lists it as uncharacterized. Lineage: Eukaryota; Metazoa; Chordata; Mammalia; Rodentia; Cricetidae. The record is from RefSeq and is a predicted model, not a curated record. The transcript has 2 exons.